Molecule: long non-coding RNA, 815 nt
Organism: Panonychus citri (citrus red mite)
Lineage: Eukaryota; Metazoa; Arthropoda; Arachnida; Trombidiformes; Tetranychidae
Exons: 2
Source: RefSeq, a predicted model, not a curated record
AAAUCCUCUUAACUUGAUCAUUUUUUUUUGUAAAAAAAAUUUUCUCAUCAAAAGUUAAUUGUUGUUUAUCAAUUUUUUUUUAAUUCCAAUGAUUUGUGAUAAUUGUCAACUUUUGAUAAUAAACUUCGUGUAGGUCUGGAAGUCUCUUUGUAAAUCCAAUUGGAUUCGUAAUAUUCAUUUUUAAUCCGAUGAUCAGAUGUUGAUUAAUUAACUAAUGAUGAGCCUCCAACAAUUAAAUUGCGACUCAAGGGCUUAAAUUACUUCCUAAUUUUUCUGUUUCGUUGAAAAUACAAGUCACAAAAAAGUGAAAUCAACUAACUGGUUUUACUAGUUAAUUCAAGUAUUUCGAGUUACUUAUCAAUGGUCAUCUCGAAAUUGAUUUUUAAUUAGGUGAAGAAAAAAAUGAUCAACACUUUCGUCAUAUUAAAUUAAAUAGUUGAGCUGUUGUUAUUUGAAUCAUUGGAAUUAAUUAAUCAAGCAAAAUGAUGAUCCCCAAGGAAUGAUAAUUGUUUGGAAAAAUGGUUCUAAUCAGAUUCGUGGAUGUGUAACUUUGGAAAACAAAUUGAAGUGGUAAUCACAAUUUAAUUUCUUUCGUGCGUCGAGAUGAUUUGAUUGAAUGAUUAAGCACAUUGGUCUCGGAUAAUCAGUGGAUCAAUCGAUUAAUCGACCUUACGAACACCAGGAUUAAUACCAUGACCAUAACCUGAAGGUCCCCAUUGCUUAGCAUAACAAGCUGAUUGGAAGAAAAGAAAAGAAAAUCAAAUUGAAUUAAAAUCAAUGGUGACAAUUGAAUAAACGAUCAAAUGAUUCAACUA